RNAcentral lists this ribosomal RNA (717 nucleotides) under Triticum aestivum (bread wheat). Its description in RNAcentral is "partial small subunit ribosomal RNA". The record is from RNAcentral. Lineage: Eukaryota; Viridiplantae; Streptophyta; Magnoliopsida; Poales; Poaceae.
AUGUUGAAGCUCAAAGAAAUUGAGGAGAGGAAUGAGGCCGAGCGACGUAGGGCGGCGGCCGAGGAGAAGAGGGCGGCGGCCGAAGAGAGGUUGGCGGCGGCCAAGGAGAAAAAAGUUGAGCUUGAGGAGAGAAAGUCGGCGGCCGAGGAGAUGAAGAUAGUGGAGAAGAAGGCACUCAAGUUUAUGUUCAUGGACACAUCCACCCUUGAUGUCAAGGCAAAGGCGUAUGUCGAACUUUGCCGCGAUGAAAUGCUCAUGAGAAGCAUGAUGGGAGGUGGAAUGGGAGGUUCCAUGGGAGGACGAAUGGGAGGGUACAUGAACAUGAUGGGUGGUGCCAUGAAUGGUGCAUUUGGUGGAAACAUGGGAGGUGGCUUUGGUGGCAACAUGGAUGGUGGCUUCGGAGGAAUGGGAGGCGGAAUGGGAAGUGGCUUCGGCGGCAAUAUGACCGGCAUGGGAGGUGGCUUCGGCGAUAGCAUGAUGAGUGGCAUGGGAGGUAGCUUCGGUGGCAACAUGAUGAGUGUCAUGGGAGGUGGCUUCGGUGGCAACAUGAUGAGUGGCAUGGGAGGUGGCUUCAGUGGCAACAUGAACGGCACAGGAGAUGGCAAUGAAGGUGCUUCUGGUGGAGUUCACGACAACGAGACUUCAAUGCAAGAAAACGUCGAGAAAGAAGCCGUUGAAACUAUGAUCGAUGAUGCACUUUUGUUGCUACAAUUAUGA